RNAcentral lists this unclassified non-coding RNA (876 nucleotides) under Hevea brasiliensis (rubber tree). Lineage: Eukaryota; Viridiplantae; Streptophyta; Magnoliopsida; Malpighiales; Euphorbiaceae. The record is from RNAcentral.
GAAAAACCUUGGUGGCUCCAUAAACCCCAAAUUCAACCAGAAAUCAAGAUUGAUUGACUACACUAACAGAGAAGAAUCUUCUCAAAAUGGAUGACGGAGAAGGAGGACUAAACUUUGAUUUUGAAGGUGGCUUAGAUACAGGGCCAACACACCCAACUGCAUCUGUACCAGUAAUACAAGCAGGUCCCGCCCCAAAUGCUUCUGUUGCCGUAGUUCCUCCAGGCGGCGGUGUGGGGCUAGGAGGUGAUGGUUCAUUUGUUGGUAACCGUAGAAGUUUCAGGCAGACUGUUUGUAGGCAUUGGCUGCGGUCCUUGUGUAUGAAGGGUGAUGCUUGUGGUUUCCUUCACCAGUAUGAUAAGUCCCGGAUGCCCGUUUGCAGGUUCUUUAGACUCUAUGGAGAGUGCCGUGAACAAGAUUGUGUUUAUAAGCACACCAAUGAGGAUAUUAAAGAAUGUAACAUGUUUAAAUUAGGAUUUUGUCCGAAUGGUCCUGAUUGCCGAUAUAGACAUGCAAAGAUGCCUGGACCUCCACCUCCAGUGGUAGAAGUUCUUCAGAAAAUUCAGAAUUUGACAUCCCAUGGUUACUCGAACAGGUUUUUUCAAAAUCGGAAUACAAAUUAUUCAACUCAGGCAGACAAAUCUCAAAUUCCGCAAGUACCUAAUGUAAUGAAUCAAGCAGUGAAAUCUACAGCAACGGAACCACCCAUUGGCCAACCGCACCAGCCGCAUCAACAACAAGUUCAACAGCCUCAACAUCAGGGGCCCCCAACUCAAACACAAACCCUUCCCGGCACCCAGCAAAAUCAGGCUGCAAUACCCCUGCCUCAAGGACCAUCUAGGUGUGUUCAGAGUUUCAAGGUCUUUACUUAGGUCAUGU